This 253-nucleotide ribosomal RNA is filed under the name uncultured bacterium. RNAcentral's name for it is "partial 16S ribosomal RNA". It matches the Rfam family "Bacterial small subunit ribosomal RNA", at positions 524 to 776 of the family's 1533-position model. The record is from RNAcentral.
CACGUAGGGUGCGAGCGUUGUCCGGAAUUAUUGGGCGUAAAGAGCUCGUAGGCGGUCCGUCACGUCGGAUGUGAAAUUCCAGGGCUUAACUCUGGACCUGCAUUCGAUACGGGCGGACUAGAGUUCGGUAGGGGAGACUGGAAUUCCUGGUGUAGCGGUGAAAUGCGCAGAUAUCGGGAGGAACACCCGUAGCGAAGGCGGCACUCUGGGCCGGAACUGACGCUGAGGAGCGAAAGCGUGGGGAGCAAACAGG